Molecule: ribosomal RNA, 433 nt
Filed under: uncultured bacterium
Lineage: Bacteria
Description: partial 16S ribosomal RNA
Rfam family: Bacterial small subunit ribosomal RNA
Source: RNAcentral
AACGAACGCUGGCGGCAUGCCUAACACAUGCAAGUCGAACGAGACCUUCGGGUCUAGUGGCGCACGGGUGCGUAACGCGUGGGAACCUGCCCUUAGGUUCGGAAUAAAUCCCCGAAAGGGGUGCUAAUACCGGAUAAUGUCUUCGGACCAAAGAUUUAUCGCCUUUGGAUGGGCCCGCGUUGGAUUAGCUAGUUGGUAGGGUAAAAGCCUACCAAGGCGACGAUCCAUAGCUGGUCUGAGAGGAUGAUCAGCCACACUGGGACUGAGACACGGCCCAGACUCCUACGGGAGGCAGCAGUGGGGAAUAUUGGACAAUGGGCGAAAGCCUGAUCCAGCAAUGCCGCGUGAGUGAUGAAGGCCUUAGGGUUGUAAAGCUCUUUUACCCGGGAUGAUAAUGACAGUACCGGGAGAAUAAGCGCCGGCUAACUCCGUG